UCGUUAAUUCCACGUAACCCAUUUCGUCGUAAAAACGUCGUUAACGAAAACGCGGGCCUUUGUAUUUCGUCGCUAUUUCGUCGUAAAUGAAAACGCGGGCCUCUGUAAUUCCUCGUAAGUUUACGAGGAAAUUACGAGGACAAGUAAUCUUAUAUAUAUCCCGAGCGAGCUCGCUCCGUCUUUCCUCUCCACUUCCUCCCUAAUUCGUAGCAAUGGUAAGUCUCUCUAAUUCCUCUCUAGUUUGAUUAGUUUAGGAUAGAUUAGGUGGUUAGUAUAGGGAAUUCAGAUAGGUUUAUGGAUCUUAUGUUAUUUAGUGUUGAUUAGGUGG
RNAcentral lists this long non-coding RNA (328 nucleotides) under Brassica napus (rape). RNAcentral's name for it is "long non-coding RNA (BNAP_LNC008177)". The record is from RNAcentral. Lineage: Eukaryota; Viridiplantae; Streptophyta; Magnoliopsida; Brassicales; Brassicaceae.